This 709-nucleotide ribosomal RNA is filed under the name uncultured bacterium. RNAcentral's name for it is "partial 16S ribosomal RNA". It matches the Rfam family "Bacterial small subunit ribosomal RNA", at positions 875 to 1500 of the family's 1533-position model. The record is from RNAcentral.
AAGNCNAAGACGNNGGAAAGUAACCCCNGCCUCGGGGGANUANUGGUUCGCAAGGGCCNGNNAGCUAAAANGGAAAUNGACNGGGGGUCUCNAGAAAAAGCCGGUGGAANCAUGNGGCAUUAAUUGNGAGGCUAACGCCGAAGAACCCUUAUCGUGGGCUGGACAUGUNCGCAAAGAGCUNCCCGAGUAGGGNCACGGAAACGCACCCCCAACGGUAUCCAGUNCCGGAAGGUAGUANCAGGUGCUGCAUGGCUGUCGUCAGCUCGNGUCGGUGAGAUGUCGGGUUAAGUCCCCAUAACGAGCGAAACCCUUGUUUCCAGUGGCCAGCGGGUUAUGNCCGGGGACUCUGGAAAGACUGCCGGUGUUAAACCGGAGGAAGGCGGGGAUGACGUCAAGUCCUCAUGGCCUUUAUGCCCAGGGCUGCACACGUGCUACAAUGGCGUGAACAAAGGGAAGUAAACCCGCGAGGGGGAGCCAAUCUCAGAAAACACGCCCCAGUUCAGAUUGCAGGCUGCAACUCGCCUGCAUGAAGUUGGAAUCGCUAGUAAUCGCGGGUCAGCAACACCNCGGUGAAUGUGUUCCUGAGCCUUGUACACACCGCCCGUCAAGCCACGAAAGGGAGGGGCGUCCGAAGUCGGUGCGCGAACCGUAAGGAAGCAGCCGCCGAAGAUGAAACUCCUGAUUGGGACUAAGUCGUAANCAAGGUACC